AGAACGAACGCUGGCGGCAUGCCUAAUACAUGCAAGUCGAACGAACACUCUGACUUCGGUUGGGGUGUUAGUGGCGCACGGGUGCGUAACGCGUGGGAAUCUGCCCUUGGGUUCGGAAUAACAGUUGGAAACGACUGCUAAUACCGGAUGAUAUCGAAAGAUCAAAGAUUUAUCGCCCAGGGAUGAGCCCGCGUAGGAUUAGCUAGUUGGUGGGGUAAAGCUCACCAAGGCGACGAUCCUUAGCUGGUCUGAGAGGAUGAUCAGCCACACUGGGACUGAGACACGGCCCAGACUCCUACGGGAGCAGCAGUAGGAAUAUGGACAAUGGGCGCAAGCCUGAUCCAGCAAUGCCGCGUGAGUGA
Molecule: ribosomal RNA, 362 nt
Filed under: uncultured soil bacterium
Lineage: Bacteria
Description: bacterial SSU rRNA
Rfam family: Bacterial small subunit ribosomal RNA
Source: RNAcentral